Molecule: ribosomal RNA, 468 nt
Filed under: Salmonella enterica
Lineage: Bacteria; Pseudomonadati; Pseudomonadota; Gammaproteobacteria; Enterobacterales; Enterobacteriaceae
Description: bacterial SSU rRNA
Rfam family: Bacterial small subunit ribosomal RNA
Source: RNAcentral
AAAUUGAAGAGUUUGAUCAUGGCUCAGAUUGAACGCUGGCGGCAGGCCUAACACAUGCAAGUCGAACGGUAGCACAGAGAGCUUGCUCUCGGGUGACGAGUGGCGGACGGGUGAGUAAUGUCUGGGAAACUGCCUGAUGGAGGGGGAUAACUACUGGAAACGGUGGCUAAUACCGCAUAACGUCGCAAGACCAAAGAGGGGGACCUUCGGGCCUCUUGCCAUCAGAUGUGCCCAGAUGGGAUUAGCUUGUUGGUGAGGUAACGGCUCACCAAGGCGACGAUCCCUAGCUGGUCUGAGAGGAUGACCAGCCACACUGGAACUGAGACACGGUCCAGACUCCUACGGGAGGCAGCAGUGGGGAAUAUUGCACAAUGGGCGCAAGCCUGAUGCAGCCAUGCCGCGUGUAUGAAGAAGGCCUUCGGGUUGUAAAGUACUUUCAGCGGGGAGGAAGGUGUUGCGGUUAAUAAC